This 600-nucleotide small RNA is filed under the name Vigna angularis var. angularis. RNAcentral describes it as "Non-protein coding transcript". The record is from RNAcentral. Lineage: Eukaryota; Viridiplantae; Streptophyta; Magnoliopsida; Fabales; Fabaceae.
UAUUGAUCAACCCCUGCAAUGGUGGUUUGGAUGGUAACCCCUGCUUUUAGGUUGUGCCCAGAGAUGAAGAGAAGACCAAUGUUGACCGACGACACAAGUGACGAGGGAGGAAGAGAAGACUUGCGUUGUGACCAACAACUCUUGUCAGACGAUGGGUGGCGGCGACUGACUUUUAUUGACAGCUAGGUUGAAUGUGGGGAACAAUAGAAUGGGUAAAGUGUCGGUAAAGGACUAUGCUCAGCUUCGCUGCUCCAAGUCUUCAGGUUUGGCUUCUGUUGUGGGAAAAUAUUACUACACUUGGAAGAAAAAGGUGGUGGUGUUGUAUGCUAGGAAGAGAGGAAAGGGUCAUGAAGAGAUGUCUAUUAUAAGAGUCCUAUGAUGCUUGCCUGUCAAUUUGGUUAAUCACGAUCCAAUUGUUUUGUUCAGCCCCAAAACCCUUCACCUCAAUUCCCUUUCUGAAUCUAAGCACGAAUCUGUUCCCAUGGAAUUAUUAGUAUUUUUCACUAGAUUUAAUUUUUUGGAGUUGUUAAUUGCAUGUUUGUUUAUGUGUUGAGGGUUUGUUGGAGGCAAAUGGAUGGGUGCCAGUUUUCCAAGAAGAAA